This 5112-nucleotide long non-coding RNA is filed under the name Cinara cedri. Lineage: Eukaryota; Metazoa; Arthropoda; Insecta; Hemiptera; Aphididae. The record is from RNAcentral.
CAUGGGGUGUAAAGGGACUUUAUAUCCCAUGGACAACCACUUAUAUAUCUUUCAAUGAAAAUGAUCCAGAAAUAUUUAAAACUUGUGUUUUAUCAAUUGUUUAUAGUAUUUCGACUUGUAAACUAUUAAACAAACUGGACAAGGUGAAUCUGUUCACAACCUGAAAUACUUACACAAAUAUAAGUGAACAUAUUAUUGAGAGUUCAUGAAAGUGGGUGUGCAUGGGAUGAAAAGGGACUUCUCAUCCCAUGGACAUCCACUUAUAUAUCUCUCAGUGAAAAUGAUCCAGAAAUACUUAAAACUACCAAACAAACUGAAAAAGAUGGAUCUGUUCACACCCUGAAAUACUUACUCAAAUAUAAGUGAACAUAUUAUUAAAAGUUCAUGAAAGUGGUUGUGCAUGGGGUGAAAAGGGACUUCUCAUCCCAUGGACAACCACUUAUAUAUCUUUCAAUGAAAAUGAUCCAGAAAUAUUUAAAACUUGUGUUUUAUCAAUUGUUUAUAGUAUUUCGACUUGUAAACUAUUAAACAAACUGGACAAGGUGAAUCUGUUCACAACCUGAAAUACUUACACAAAUAUAAGUGAACAUAUUAUUGAGAGUUCAUGAAAGUGGGUGUGCAUGGGAUGAAAAGGGACUUCUCAUCCCAUGGACAUCCACUUAUAUAUCUCUCAGUGAAAAUGAUCCAGAAAUACUGAAAACUACCAAACACACUGGACGAGAUGGAUCUGUUCACAACCUGAAAUACUUACUCAAAUAUAAGUGAACAUAUUAUUGAAAGUUCAUGAAAGUGGGUGUGCAUGGGAUGAAAAGGGACUUCUCGUUCCAUGGACAUCCACUUAUAUAUCUUUCAAUGAAAAUGAUCCAGAAAUAUUUAAAACUUGUGUUUUAUCAAUUGUUUAUAGUAUUUCUACUUGUAAACUAUUAAACAAACUGCACAAGAUGGAUCCGUUCACCCACAACAUAAAACACUUACUCAAAUAUAGGUGAACAUAUUAUUGAAAGUUCAUGAAAGUGGGUGUGCAUGGGAUGAAAAGGGACUUCUCGUCCCAUGGACAUCCACUUAUAUAUCUUUCAGUGAAAAUGAACCAGAAAUACUUGACACUUGUGUUUUAUCAAUUAUAAUAUUUCUACUUGAAAAAGGCCAAACAAACUGCACAAGAUGGAUCUGUUCACUCACAACAUGAAACACUCAAAUAUAUAUGAACAUAUUAUUAAAAGUUCAUGAAAGUGGUUGUGCAUGGGGUGUAAAGGGACUUUAUAUUCCAUGGACAACCACUUAUAUAUCUUUCAAUGAAAAUGAUCCAGAAAUAUUUAAAACUUGUGUUUUAUCAAUUGUUUAAAGUAUUUCUACUUGUAAACUAUUAAACAAACUGCACAAGAUGGAUCUAUUCACUCACAACAUGAAAUACUUACUCAAAUAUAUGUGAACUUAUUAUUGAAAAUUCAUGAAAGUGGGUGUGCAUGGGAUGAAAAGGGACUUCUCGUCCCAUGGACAUCCACUUAUAUAUCUUUCAAUGAAAAUGAUCCAGAAAUAUUUAAAACUUGUGUUUUAUCAAUUGUUUAAAGUAUUUCUACUUGUAAACUAUUAAACAAACUGCACAAGAUGGAUCUAUUCACUCACAACAUGAAAUACUUACUCAAAUAUAUGUGAGCUUAUUAUUGAAAAUUCAUGAAAGUGGGUGUGCAUGGGAUGAAAAGGGACUUCUCAUCCCAUGGACAUCCACUUAUAUAUCGCUCAGUGAAAAUGAUCCAGAAAUACAGAAAACUACCAAACACACUGGACGAGAUGGAUCUGUUCACAACCUGAAAUACUUACUCAAAUAUAAGUGAACAUAUUAUUAAAAGUUCAUGAAAGUGGUUGUGCAUGGGGUGUAAAGGGACUUUAUAUCCCAUGGACAACCACUUAUAUAUCUUUCAAUGAAAAUGAUCCAGAAAUAUUUAAAACUUGUGUUUUAUCAAUUGUUUAUAGUAUUUCGACUUGUAAACUAUUAAACAAACUGGACAAGGUGAAUCUGUUCACAACCUGAAAUACUUACUCAAAUAUAAGUGAACAUAUUAUUGAGAGUUCAUGAAAGUGGGUGUGCAUGGGAUGAAAAGGGACUUCUCGUUCCAUGGACAUCCACUUAUAUAUCUUUCAGUGAAAAUGAACUAGAAAUUCUGGGAACUUGUGUUUUAUCAAUUAUAAUAUUUCUACUUGAAAAAGGCCAAACAAACUGCACAAGAUGGAUCAGUUCACUCACAACAUGAAAUACUUACUCAAAUAUAUGUGAACUUAUUAUUAAAAGUUCAUGAAAGUGGUUGUGCAUGGGGUGAAAAGGGACUUCUCAUCCCAUGGACAACCACUUAUAUAUCUUUCAAUGAAAAUGAUCCAGAAAUAUUUAAAACUUGUGUUUUAUCAAUUGUUUAUAGUAUUUCGACUUGUAAACUAUUAAACAAACUGGAAAAGAUGGAUCUAUUCACUCACAACAUGAAAUACUUACUCAAAUAUAUGUGAACUUAUUAUUGAAAAUUCAUGAAAGUGGGUGUGCAUGGGGUGAAAAGGGACUUUUCAUCCCAUGGACACCCACUUAUAUAUCUUUCAGUGAAAAUGAUCCAAAAAUACUAAUAACUUGUGUUUUAUUAAUUGUUUAUAAAUUUCUACAUGAAAAAAGCCAAACAAACUGCACAAGAUGGAUCUGUUNNNNNNNNNNNNNNNNNNNNNNNNNNNNNNNNNNNNNNNNNNNNNNNNNNNNNNNNNNNNNNNNNNNNNNNNNNNNNNNNNNNNNNNNNNNNNNNNNNNNNNNNNNNNNNNNNNNNNNNNNNNNNNNNNNNNNNNNNNNNNNNNNNNNNNNNNNNNNNNNNNNNNNNNNNNNNNNNNNNNNNNNNNNNNNNNNNNNNNNNNNNNNNNNNNNNNNNNNNNNNNNNNNNNNNNNNNNNNNNNNNNNUUCAAUGAAAAUGAUCCAGAAAUAUUUAAACUUGUGUUUUAUCAAUUAUAAUAUUUCUACUUGAAAAAGGCCAAACAAACUGCACAAGAUGGAUCUGUUCACUCACAACAUGAAAUACUUUCUCAAAUAUAGGUGAACAUAUUAUUGAAAGUUCAUGAAAGUGGGUGUGCAUGGGAUGAAAAGGGACUUCUCGUCCCAUGGACAUCCACUUAUAUAUCUCUCAGUGAAAAUGAUCCAGAAAUACUUAAAACUACCAAACAAACUGAAAAAGAUGGAUCUGUUCACACCCUGAAAUACUUACUCAAAUAUAAGUGAACAUAUUAUUAAAAGUUCAUGAAAGUGGUUGUGCAUGGGGUGUAAAGGGACUUUAUACCCCAUGGACAACCACUUAUAUAUCUUUCAAUGAAAAUGAUCCAGAAAUAUUUAAACUUGUGUUUUAUCAAUUAUAAUAUUUCUACUUGAAAAAGGCCAAACAAACUGCACAAGAUGGAUCUGUUCACUCACAAUAUGAAAUACUUACUCAAAUUUAUGCGAACAUAUUAUUGAAAAUUCAUGAAAGUGGGUGUGCAUGGGGUGAAAAGGGACUUUUCAUCCCAUGGACACCCACUUAUAUAUCUUUCAGUGAAAAUGAUCCAAAAAUACUAAUAACUUGUGUUUUAUUAAUUGUUUAUAAAUUUCUACAUGAAAAAAGCCAAACAAACUGCACAAGAUGGAUCUGUUCACUCACAACAUGAAAUACUUUCUCAAAUAUAGGUGAACAUAUUAUUGAAAGUUCAUGAAAGUGGGUGUGCAUGGGAUGAAAAGGGACUUCUCGUUCCAUGGACAUCCACUUAUAUAUCUUUCAAUGAAAAUGAUCCAGAAAUAUUUAAAACUUGUGUUUUAUCAAUUGUUUAUAGUAUUUCGACUUGUAAACUAUUAAACAAACUGGAAAAGAUGGAUCUAUUCACUCACAACAUGAAAUACUUACUCAAAUAUAUGUGAACUUAUUAUUGAAAAUUCAUGAAAGUGGGUGUGCAUCGGUUGAAAAGAGUCUUUUCGUCCCAUGGACAACCACUUAUAUAUCUUCCAAUGAAAAUGAUCCAGAAAUACUUUAAACUUGUGUUUUAUCAAUUGUUUAUAAUAUUUCCACAUGAUAAAGGUCAAACAAACUGCACAAGAUGGAUCAGUUCAUCCACAACAUAAAACACUUACUCAAAUAUAGGUGAGCAUAUUAUUGAGAGUUCAUGAAAGUGGGUGUGCAUGGGAUGAAAAGGGACUUCUCAUCCCAUGCUCAUCCACUUAUAUAUCUCUCAGUGAAAAUGAUCCAGAAAUACUGAAAACUACCAAACAAACUGGAAAAGAUGGAUCUGUUCACAACCUGAAGUACUUACUCAAAUAUAAGUGAACAUAUUAUUGAAAGUUCAUGAAAGUGGGUGUGCAUGGGAUGAAAAGGGACUUCUUGUCCCAUGGACAUCCACUUAUAUAUCUUUCAGUGAAAAUGAUCCAAAAAUUCUGAAAACCUGUGUUUUAUCAAUUGUGUAUAAUAUUUCUACAUAAAAAAUACCAAACUAACUGCACAAUAUGGAUUUGCAUAUGGAACUUGUUUAAACAACCGUGAAAAUAUUUAUUAUUAAUUCAUAAUGCAGAUUUUCAGUUAUGAAAAAAACGGAUUGGUAUCUUUUGAAAUGAGCUUAUGUAAGUUUUUGUCUUAGAAAGAUAAUGGCAUCGGAAUUUUUUUUUUUCAUGGACACCCACUUAAAUAAUCUUUAUAUUGUCUUAUUUCUGUACUGCUAAAUAAUUGGUUUGUUUUACCUAUACUUUUGGAUAGAAUAGAUUUGUAUAGAACCUUUAGAAUAGAGGAGAGUAAGUCAUUAUUAGAUUGAUCAGUAUUAUGUCUCGAGAAAUUAUAUUCCUUAAUUUAUAUUAUAUUUUAUAACGAAAUGAAAAAUGUUGUUUUUAAACUUUCGAAACUUAAAAACAAAUUCAUUACAUUUGUCUGGUUGUUCUUGUAAUAUGCAUUCUAUCCUAUUAUUUGUAGCAAAAAUGUAUUUAUAAAAAAUUAUGUUAGUAUUUGAAAUGUAUUAGUUCUAAAUUUAAAUUGAUUUAUUCAAAUCUAUAAUAAUUAUAUUAUAUUGUAACGAAAUUUAAAAUUUUUAUUUUUAGUUUAAUUUAAUCUUAAAAAACUAAAACUAAAACAAUUGUAUUAA